Lutra lutra (Eurasian river otter) is the source of this 161-nucleotide long non-coding RNA. RefSeq lists it as uncharacterized. NCBI's taxonomy places the organism in Eukaryota, Metazoa, Chordata, Mammalia, Carnivora, Mustelidae. The transcript is spliced from 3 exons. The record is from RefSeq and is a predicted model, not a curated record.
UUAUUAUAGCCGAUGUCAGAGAAAUUACUGCCUGGGCUCUUCUUUAGGAUUUCUAUGGUUUCGGGUCUCAUAUUUAGAUCCUUAAUCCAUUUUGAGUUUAUUUUUGUGUAUGGUAUAAGAAAGUGGCCCAGUUUUAUUCUUUUGCAUGAGUUGUCCAGUUU